This is a long non-coding RNA of Lates calcarifer (barramundi perch), 1270 nucleotides long. RefSeq lists it as uncharacterized. NCBI's taxonomy places the organism in Eukaryota, Metazoa, Chordata, Actinopteri, Centropomidae. The record is from RefSeq and is a predicted model, not a curated record. The transcript has 5 exons.
UAAAGUGUUUUGGUGCUUAAAUGUGUUUACCGUCUCAGUCUCAGAUUCGCAAUAGUAGUAGAGCAUCUUCCUGUUAGCUGACGUAUGUCGUCAUUGGUCACGAGCUUCUGGGAGGAGCUGUUCAGAGAGGCGAAUCAGAUCUGAACCACGUUCGAAGCGUCGCCUCCGUUUGCAAGUAGUGCGGGAGAACGUCACCACCGAGGUCCGGAUGCUUAAAGUUUUUGUCGAAAAGCAGGUUUACUGGUUCAGCUGCUGCAGCCUGGACACAAACACCAGCUCCCACCUUAAAAAGCAAACAGAGGCCUGGACUACGAAGGGAGUUUAAGCCACUCUGAUUUAACUCGGGUUAUCAAGGAACGUCGGGGUUGACAGACGUCGGCUGCCUCGAUCUGCGUUAACUACAGCGAUGGUUAAGAUAUCAGUGUCUCCACUUGACGUCCACGAUCAGAGAAUCUUUGAACAAUGAAGGAAUUGUUUAGACCAGGACAGAGGCCUCCAGAAUUCCAACUUGAAGCAUUAAAUCACAGAGAGAAGAGACAGACAUGAAGAUGUUUCCAGAAGGUCUCAGAGACGCCACCAGUGCCGUCAGUUUCACAAGAACAGCUUCUGACGUCGCGUAUCGACGGUUAUCCCGUAGCGCCAGGGAGUCUAGAGCGCUUGGACAGGCGUUCACAGAACCUGUAAACCAAAGCUGGGGCUCUCGCACUUUGUCUGCCUCAGGUAAGAUUACAACUGGCAGUCCCUUUUCUUUUAGUGUUUGCAUUUGUUUGUACAGCCUCAAAAUGUACUGCCAAAGGUGAUCUUUAAGUGUCCAAGCUCAGCAGUAGUUGUCUUAUAUAGUAGUAUCAUGUCCAACAGACAGAAUCACUUCUGUCUCUAACUGACACUCCACUGAAAUCAACCCGACUCUACUGAUCUCAAAGGAUAAAACUUUUGACACUUUACUGUGACAUUGAGUAUUUUUAACUGUUUUCCAUGCCUUAGUAUUUUAUGACAUUUGUUUUUGAGUGUUUUCCAUGCGUUAUUAUACUAUGACAUUAUUUAAGUGUUGUUGGGUGUUUUUCCACUGUUUGUUAUGCCUUACUGUACUAUGAUGUUUUUUGACUGUUUUUCAUGCAUUAUUGUGUACUAUUACAGUAUUUGAGUGUUUAUUACUGUUUUUCAUGCCUUACUGUGCUUUUACAAUAUUUGAGUGUUUGUGACUGUUUUUCCAUUGUUUUUUUUGCGUGGCAUUAUCCAACUUGCCUGUCUUUUAUGUCAUUAUGCAGCC